AACGAACGCUGGCGGCAGGCUUAACACAUGCAAGUCGAACGAAGUCUUCGGACUUAGUGGCAGACGGGUGAGUAACGCGUGGGAACCUACCUUUAGGUACGGAACAACAGUUGGAAACGACUGCUAAUACCGUAUGCGCCCUACGGGGGAAAGAUUUAUCGCCGAGAGAUGGGCCCGCGUUGGAUUAGCUAGUUGGUGGGGUAAUGGCCUACCAAGGCGACGAUCCAUAGCUGGUCUGAGAGGAUGAUCAGCCACACUGGGACUGAGACACGGCCCAGACUCCUACGGGAGGCAGCAGUGGGGAAUAUUGGACAAUGGGGCAACCCUGAUCCAGCCAUGCCGCGUGAGUGAUGAAGGCCCUAGGGUUGUAAAAGCUCUUUCAGCGAGGAGGAUAAUGACGUUACUCGCAGAAGAAGCCCCGGCUAAACUUCGUGCCAGCCGCCGCGGU
This 448-nucleotide ribosomal RNA is filed under the name uncultured bacterium. RNAcentral describes it as "bacterial SSU rRNA". It matches the Rfam family "Bacterial small subunit ribosomal RNA", at positions 29 to 521 of the family's 1533-position model. The record is from RNAcentral.